RNAcentral lists this ribosomal RNA (501 nucleotides) under uncultured bacterium. RNAcentral describes it as "partial 16S ribosomal RNA". It matches the Rfam family "Bacterial small subunit ribosomal RNA", at positions 30 to 523 of the family's 1533-position model. The record is from RNAcentral.
AUUGAACGCUGGCGGCAGGCUUAACACAUGCAAGUCGAGCGGAGAUGAGGUGCUUGCACCUUAUCUUAGCGGCGGACGGGUGAGUAAUGCUUAGGAAUCUGCCUAUUAGUGGGGGACAACAUUCCGAAAGGAAUGCUAAUACCGCAUACGUCCUACGGGAGAAAGCAGGGGAUCUUCGGACCUCGCGCUAAUAGAUGAGCCUAAGUCGGAUUAGCUAGUUGGUGGGGUAAAGGCCUACCAAGGCGACGAUCUGUAGCGGGUCUGAGAGGAUGAUCCGCCACACUGGGACUGAGACACGGCCCAGACUCCUACGGGAGGCAGCAGUGGGGAAUAUUGGACAAUGGGGGGAACCCUGAUCCAGCCAUGCCGCGUGUGUGAAGAAGGCCUUAUGGCUGUAAAGCACUUUAAGCGAGGAGGAGGCUACUGAGACUAAUACUCUUGGAUAGUGGACGUUACUCGCAGAAUAAGCACCGGCUAACUCUGUGCCAGCCGCCGCUGUAA